GCCACUGCGCUGUGCUUAUCUUUCUUCUCCAUUAGCCUGCAGUAAGUAGAGAAUAAAUUUUACAGCAUUUAUCAUUUGCUUAGCUGGAUCCCUGAACUUGCCUCCCUGGGAUAAGACACCAUGACCACACAGAAAUCCAGCCAGAUAAUGGGAAGGUGUGCGUUGGCCUCUCACUGCACGGCUAUGGGCUCCUGUUUAUGUGGCUUUAGUAGAUGAUUUCAUCCUCUUUUCUGACUUGGAACCAGACAACUUUACAUUCUCAGCAAACAGAUGGACAACAGGGUUGAAAUAAGAUCUUGUACUGAAAUAGUCCUUGAGUCAUACUCCUUGACUGUUCUCUCAUACGGGAAACUUGCCUCUUCCUUCUUGCAGAAGGCCAAGGCUGAGAAUUCAGUGUACUCAGAGUUCUUGGACUCUUUUCUCAAUAUAUGUUAUGUUGGAUAUUUUUCUUCUUGGUCAAGAUUGAGAGUCUGCCAAUAUAAGAAUAUUAUCUAAUUUGUUUUGGCAGAACACCUGGCCUUUUGCCCUAAGUCGAUGUUUAAAAAUAGAACUAAAAGUUUUACAUUAACUUGUUUUUGUCCUCUUUCCAGAAAAGAUCCUGACAUGAGAAAAAAGGGGAGCUUGAUUUUACCUAUAACUUUAUUUGGGAAGCAGGGGUGCUGUAGUUCAGGGGCGUCCAAUCUUUCGGCUUCCCUGGGCCACACUGGAAGAAGAAAAGUUUUCUCGGACCACACAUAAAAUACACUAACAUUAAUGACAGCCGAUGAGCUAAAAAAAAUUGAAAAAAAAAUCGUAUAAUGUUUUAAGAAAGUUUACAAAUUUGUGUUAGGCUGCAUUCAAAACCAUCUUGGGUCACAGGGCUAAAGGCUGUACAAGCUUGCUCUAGCUGAAACUCACUUGACUUGGUCAUUGGGUUCUAGUGCACAUUGUGCCAGUAACUGUGUGACCUCGGAAAGUCAGUUGUCUUUCAAUGCUCAGUUUCCCCAUCUGUAAAAUGGGAAUGAUAAAACCUCAACUGAAGGGUUGUUGUAAGUAUUAAAUGAAAUGACAUUUGUAAAAGUAUUCAGAUGAGAUAACAUUGCUGUAUUAACAUAGAUUUUUUUUAAGGUACAAAAAGAAUUAUAUUAAAACAGUAACAUACAUUUGUAUGUAUGAGGGAGGGAUAUUUAAAAUUAAAAUAUUAUAUAAUCACAAGAAAGACCAGAUAUUCCUUGCUCUGCCAUUGGGCAUCCAAGAAAAGUAAAGCCUGUUUUAUAUCCCCAAAAUAAAAAAGAGACUUGAUAGAAGUAACAGUGGUUGGAACCCAAGUCAAUUUAUACUCUUGUUAGAUAAGUCCAAAUCCUAAAGUCUACAAAAAUCCUGUUAAAUCAAGGGGAAAAUUCAUUUUAGGAUAAAGUUAUUCAAGAUGAAAGAAAGGCAUGUCUUCAGUGAGAGAACUGCCUGCUGUCGGAUGAUUUCUUGCUAAUGUGUUUGAAGAUUUUGAACUUCUCAAUUUUCUUGGUUUUCCGGUAGCCAAAUCUACCACCACCCCCUCACUUUUUCUGCUUGCCUUCAUUGGAGUUGAUGUUCAGAUCAACAAAGGGAGGUACCUUGAAACCAAAUGACAGAGCAACUGGAGGCAAAUUUAAGUUAUUAGCAUUAAAGAUCUGUUUCAGAGAAUGGGAAUCAUAGGCUCAUAUGUAUGGCUUAUAUGCUUCCUGGGCUGACUUAUGAAGAAAGUAGUUCUUUUCAAUCAGUUUCCCAAGCUGGGACUGAAUGUCAGAAAUUUUAGACCGGGAAAAGUCAAGUUCACUUAAUGGAACCUUGGAUUGUUUCAAGUAGCGAAGAAAACCCAAUUAUUCUGGGCGCAAAAUGAGCAGGGCAUGCCCUCUCCCAAUUCAGAAUCAAAAAACACAAAGAAGAAGAAAAAGAGGAAAAUGCCAAAUGAUGCUGGGCCUGAUACAAAAAAAGCAAAAACUGCAAACAAAGGGGAAUCUGAAGAAGAGAGUGCAGAAACUCCUAAAGAAACAGAAAAUAAUGUGGAGAAGCCAGAUAAUGAUGAAGAUGACAGUGAGGUGCCCAGCCUACCCCGGGACUGACAGGAGCUUUUGAGGAUACUUCAUUUGUUUCUCUAUGUAAUCCUGUCAAUGAAAACACUCUGAAGGCAAUAAAAGAAAUGGGUUUUACAAACAUGACUGAAAUUCAGCAUAAAAGUAUCAGACCACUUCUGGAAGGCAGGGACUUCUAGCAGCUGCAAAAACAGGCAGUGGUAAAAGCCUGGCUUUUCUCAUCCCUGCAGUUGAACUCAUUGUUAAGUUAAAGUUCAUGCCCAGGGAUGGAACGGGAGUCCUUAUUCUCUCACCUGCUAGAGAACUAGCCAUGCAAACUUUUGGUUUGGUGUUCUUAAGGAGCUAAUGACUUGCCAUGUGCAUACUUAUGGGUUGAUAAUGGGUGGCAGUAACAGAUCUGUUGAAGCACAGAAACUUGCUAAUGGGAUCAACAUCAUUGUGGCCACAGCAGGCCGUCUGCUGGACCAUACGCAGAAUACCCCAGGGUUUAUGUAUAAAAACCUGCAGUAUCUGGUUAUUGAUGAAGCUGAUCAUAGCUUGGAUGUUGAGUUUGAAGGGGAAUUAAAGCAAGUUAUUAAACUUUUGCCAACACAUAAACAGACUAUGCUCUUUUCUGCCACCCAAACUUGAAAAGUGGAAGGCCUGGCAAGGAUUUCUCUGAAAAAGGAGCCAUUGUAUGUUGGUGUUGAUGAUGAUAAAGCUAAUGCAACAGUGGAUGGUCUUGAACAGGGAUAUGUUGUUUGUCCUUCCAAAAAGAGAUUCCUUCUGCUCUUUACAUUCCUUAAGAAGAAACGAAAGAAGCAGCUUAUGGUCUUUUCAUCUUGUAUGUCCGUGAAAUGCCACUGUGAGUUGCUGAAGUACAUUGAUUUGCCCGACUUGGCCAUUCAUGGAAAGCAAAAGCAAAAUAAGUGUACAACCACAUUCUUCCAGUUCUGCCACCCAGAUUCAGGAACAUUAUUGUGUACGGAUGUGGCAGCAAUUAAAUAAUUUUGUUUAAUUUUCAGAGAUUAGAACUAUCCCUCCUCUAUAACAAAAUAGUUUGUAAUGAGCAAGAAGUAAUUAAUCUACUUAAAGAUUUACUUAUUCUAAACUAAGUAUAUUUGCUCACUGCCUUUUAUUCAGUCCUUGCUGGAGAGGGGUAAUAAUGUUGACCUGUGAUUCCAUUUUUUUUUUUUUUUGAGACCUGCUUGAUUUAUUCCAAUUUUUUAAUACACAGUGACACAACUGUGAUCCCAAACUGUGCAGAGUUAAAGCCUUCAACUGCAGCUGAGGAGAGGGCAGGAAUGGUACACCUGCGAACAGUGGUGAGUCAGGAAUGAUGGGCAGGGGGCCAUGACCAGGGCAGCCUCCUCCCCAGGGCCAGGGACAGGGGAGUGGCCUGAGGAGCAGGACCCAAGGGUAGCCCAGGGCCGAGGAAGGGGUCAGAGACCUCCCCUUGGCCUAGGUCUGGAGCUCAAAAGUGCCACAUGGCUGAGGGGGCAGCAGCCCGGGAAGGACCAGAGGCAGGGCCUGGAGAGCACCAUUUCCUGGGGGGCUGGGGGCAGGGAGGUGCCCUACAGGUGAAGCCAGGAGGGGCUGCCUGCCCCUGGGGUGGGGGCCGGGCUGGAGCAGGCUGCAGCAAGAAAGACCUGAGGCAGGCACAGGGCCUGAGAGCCUGGGGGGAUGGUGUGGGGGGGCUCCCAGGGCAGCCUGGCCCAGGGAGCAGUCCUGACUCAGCAGAGGAUGCCCAGGGAGGGGCUGCAGAACCCUCAGGACCUCCCCUCGUCUCUCCCUGGAAAGUAGCUGGGGAACCUAUAGUGCAAAUCUGUGGACCACUCAGUUAUGGAGGGAGGCUGUGCCUGAAGGGGGACAUUGGGGUGUGCCCUGUCCAUCACCUCGGCCUCCACCGUCUUCAGUACAGCCGCUUCACGUAAGAGUGCAGGCCAUGGAUGCCAUCCUCGAUCUGGGCCGACAGGGUCUGCUUCUCAAACUCGAGCUCUCCUGAGUACAUCAUGGACCAAAGGACAGACAGACUGUGGCCCCGAUAUCCUGGCAGCUGUGCUGGAUGCCCGCUAUGAGGUAGGGCAUGAACUUCUGAUUGGAAUCUUUGUCUUGGAUGGAACAUGAGACACCCUGCACGAUCUUCACCUUAUCCCCCUCGCUGACGUAUGGUUUCUGGCUGCUGCUGCUUUUCUCCAUGGCAUCCGGUGAGCCCAUGCCCCGGUACUUCUUAAGCCACACCCCGUCUGAGAAGUACUCGCAGGGGGCCUCCAUGGUGGCAGCCAGCAGGGAGCCCAUCAUCACUGUGGAGGCUCCAAGUUCCAGGGCCUUGACCACAUGCUCCACGGUCUGGAUACCGCCAUCCGGCUAUGAUGGGCACACCAAAGUGCCGGGCAUACUCGACCACCUUGUAUACAGCAGUGCCCUGGGGCUGACCGCAGGCCAUCACUUCCUGGGUGAUAUAGAUGGAGCCGCAGCCCAUCCCCACGUGCAGCCUAUCCACACCAGCAUCAAUCAGUUUCUUGCCCUGGGCUACUGUCACCACGUUCCCCCCAAUCACCUGGAGAUUGGGGUACUUCUGUUUGAUGUAAUGCACUAUGGCAAUCUGAUACACCAAGUUCCCUUGGGAUGAGUCCAAGAUUAUAACGUCAAUGCCCACCUGGGUGAGCAGGUCCAGGUGGUAUUUGCCAUCUUUAUGGGUGCCCACAGCUGCCCCCCACAGCAGCUGCUGGUGGGAAUCCUUGGAGGUCAAAGGGUAGUCUCAGUUCUUCUUCAGGUCGGAGCGGGCGAUGAUGGCCACCAGUUCAUUGCGAUCAUUGGAGAUAAGCAGCUUCCCUUUCUUGCUAAGCUGCAAGAUCUCAUUUGCCUCUUUCAACCUCAGGCCUGCUGGAGCCACCACCAGCUCGAUCCUUGGUGUCAUCACCUCACUGAGGAGGGUGCUGUGGUCCUUCUCAGCAAGAAAGUUGAUGUCUCAGGAGGUGACGAUGCCCACCAACUUGCUGCCCAUGAUGCCCGUCUCAGUGAUCGGGAUGCCAGAGAAGCCAUGCCACAUCUUGGCCUCCAGCACAUCACCCAUGGUGUGCGAGGGGCUCAGCACCACGGGGUCGGUGAUGAAGUCCCCCUGUUCAAACUUCUUGACUUUCCACACUGCUUGGCCGGGAACUCUGGGGUGCGGCUGUGGUGAAUGAGACCAACCUCUCCCAUUAGAGCCAUCGCAAUGGCCAUGUCAGCCUCUGUCACAGUGUCCAUGGGGGAGGAGAUCAGAGGCAUCUUCAGUGUGAUCUUCCAGGUCAGGACUGAGGUCAGGUCUACCUCAUCAGCUGUGAAGUCUAUGAAUCCUGGGAGAAUCAGGACAUCGUUGUAGGCGAGGCCCUCAGCGCUGGUGAAGAGCUGCUGCAGGGUGAGCCCGUCCUCAGGCACGUAGCAGGUGCCUCAGCUGAUCAGAUAGUCCACCACGCUGCCGCGAGACCCCGCGAGCCCACGUAGACACCCGCGCAGCCGCCGCCGCUGCU
Molecule: RNA transcript, 5539 nt
Organism: Macaca mulatta (Rhesus monkey)
Lineage: Eukaryota; Metazoa; Chordata; Mammalia; Primates; Cercopithecidae
Gene name: ATP-dependent RNA helicase DDX18 pseudogene
Source: RefSeq, a predicted model, not a curated record